Molecule: long non-coding RNA, 295 nt
Filed under: Mytilus galloprovincialis (Mediterranean mussel)
Lineage: Eukaryota; Metazoa; Mollusca; Bivalvia; Mytilida; Mytilidae
Source: RNAcentral
UAGAUAUUUAUGUAGUUCAUACAAUUCCCCAAGUUUUUUUCUUUACCUUGUAUUUUCAGCAGAUUUAUUUGAUUUGAACAUUGGAACACGAUUUAAUAUUGCCGUUUGCAUGAUAGUUUUAAUCAAGGGCCAAUGAUGAUCAUAGCAACUACUGAAAAUAACAGAAACAUACUUUUUCUAUUGGUUAAUGGCGUUGAUGGUAAAGGUCCACACUCAUAGUUUUUAUAUUUAUUUGAUUUGAACAUUGGAACACGAUUUAAUAUUGCCGUUUGCAUGAUAGUUUUAAUCAAAGGCC